UGUAACAAGGUCUCCGUUGGUGAACCAGCGGAGGGAUCAUUACUGAGUUACCGCUCUAUAACCCUUUGUGAACGUACCUAACCGUUGCUUCGGCGGGCAGGGGAAGCCUCUCGCGGGCCUCCCCUCCCGGCGCCGGCCCCCACCACGGGGACGGGGCGCCCGCCGGAGGAAACUAAACUCUAUUUACACGACGUCUCUUCUGAGUGGCACAAGCAAAUAAUUAAAACUUUUAACAACGGAUCUCUUGGUUCUGGCAUCGAUGAAGAACGCAGCGAAAUGCGAUAAGUAAUGUGAAUUGCAGAAUUCAGUGAAUCAUCGAAUCUUUGAACGCACAUUGCGCUCGCCAGCAUUCUGGCGAGCAUGCCUGUUCGAGCGUCAUUUCAACCCUCAAGCACCGCUUGGUUUUGGGGCCCCACGGCCGACGUGGGCCCUUAAAGGUAGUGGCGGACCCUCCCGGAGCCUCCUUUGCGUAGUAACUAACGUCUCGCACUGGGAUCCGGAGGGACUCUUGCCGUUAAACCCCCAAAUUCUUUACAGGUUGACCUCGGAUCAGGUAGGAAUACCCGCUGAACUUAAGCAUAUCA
RNAcentral lists this small RNA (584 nucleotides) under Colletotrichum acutatum. Its description in RNAcentral is "eukaryotic LSU rRNA". The stretch from base 225 to 378 matches the Rfam family "5.8S ribosomal RNA". Lineage: Eukaryota; Fungi; Ascomycota; Sordariomycetes; Glomerellales; Glomerellaceae. The record is from RNAcentral.